RNAcentral lists this unclassified non-coding RNA (207 nucleotides) under Hevea brasiliensis (rubber tree). The record is from RNAcentral. Lineage: Eukaryota; Viridiplantae; Streptophyta; Magnoliopsida; Malpighiales; Euphorbiaceae.
UCAUUUUCAAUUCAUUCAUCAACCAUUCUAUCCACCACUUUGCUUUGUCUGGGUUUCAUUUUGUCAGUGUAGGAAGUAUUCCCAGUUUGAAUCAUACUGAACUUUUCUUGCAGUUAUCUUCCACUGCUUCUGUGUAUGUAUUUUUACCUUUAAUGUACUAUAUAUAACACUUACUUUGUUAUGAAUUAUCUUCUUCUUUUUAGAAUG